CCUACGGGAGGCAGCAGUGAGGAAUAUUGGUCAAUGGGCGAGAGCCUGAACCAGCCAAGCCGCGUGAAGGAUGACUGCCCUAUGUGUUGUAAACCUCUUUUGUAUGGGAAUAAAAGGUGUGACUAGUCCCCGCAUGUAUGUACCUUAAGAAAAAGCAUCGGCUAACUACGUGCCAGCAGCCGCGGUAAUACGUAGGGGCCGAGCGUUAUCCGGAUUUAUUGGGUGUAAAGGGAGCGCAGGUGGCAUGUUAAGUCAGUUGUGAAAGUCCGUGGCUCAACCCGAGAACUGCAUUUGAAACUGGCAGGCUGGAGUGCAGUAGCGGUGGGCGGAAUUCGUGGUGUAGCGGUGAAAUGCGUAGAGAUCAGGAGGAACACCGGUGGCGAAGGCGGCCCGCUGGACUGCGACUGACGCUGAGGCGCGAAAGCGUGGGGAGCAAACAGGAUUAGAUACCCCAGUAGUC
Molecule: ribosomal RNA, 460 nt
Filed under: uncultured bacterium
Lineage: Bacteria
Description: partial 16S ribosomal RNA
Rfam family: Bacterial small subunit ribosomal RNA
Source: RNAcentral